Triticum aestivum (bread wheat) is the source of this 1019-nucleotide long non-coding RNA. RefSeq lists it as uncharacterized. The record is from RefSeq and is a predicted model, not a curated record. NCBI's taxonomy places the organism in Eukaryota, Viridiplantae, Streptophyta, Magnoliopsida, Poales, Poaceae. The transcript is spliced from 3 exons.
CCUCCUACUUCUGCUCCCCCGCCGCCGUUGCAGUGUCCCCAAAUCAAGCGCGGUCGUUAGGAGGAUGCUGAUGGGACAGCUGGGCGGGGGCAAGAGCAAUUCCAAUCGCGGCCACGCCGCACGUUAUCCAGUUCAGCUGCUCCAGCACCCCACACCGGCGGCGAUUGGCGGCACCAGCAGAGCACAAAGGGUUCAAUAUCCAGCUGCCCGCAACGGUGGAUAAGUUCAAUUAUGUCGAGAGACAACUGAUUUGGUCUGGUAAAUUCUUCAAUUACCUCACAUCUGAUGGGUUUUACAAAGACCAGCUUCAUGCGAAGACACAGAUGAUCAAUAACAAGCCCGGGGCCUACACUAUGGAUGUCUCUUUUCAACACAUGUGCAAAUCAUGUGUCGACGUUGAUCUGAUAAGAGCUAUCAUCAACAGCCGUUUCAAGUAUGCAUGCAGUUUUUAUACUGCUCAUUAGUUAAAGCUGCUUUUAUCUCUACACAUAUGUACCGGUGUGUGUGUGUGUGUAAAUUAAGUGUUGGAAAAAUAUGUGUCUUUUGUGUAAAUGAACUGCUGGAACAAUCUCCGUGUUUCCAUUUCAGUCUUCAUCCUUGGCUACUACCUGGUGCCAAUUUUUUUUUAAGGAAGUUCCUAAGCGAUAUAGUUUAUGCAAAAGAGGAAACAACAAUUAAUGGGACACGCUUAUCUUUUACUGACUUCCCAGAGAGGUCUGAUAUCCUAUCUUUAGGAAAUGGUUACACAAACCCACUUUCUUUUAUCUUACAUAACACAAUGAUUAUUUGUCUUUCAUAUAGCGUGCAUAUGUCUAGAGACUUCAGGAAAAUUGGUCCUCUUGUUCAACAUGUGCCUUUAAUUGGGGCCAAAACUUCUCUUGUUGCCCCAACUUUCCAUGGGAGCCGUUUUAUGCACAUCUUGAUGGUUGGUAUAUCGGCAAAUCAUUCCAAUCGUAUCAGCUGGGAUGGCGAAUUCAGUGAAGAAAACAUUAUGAUUAUUGGACACAAAUCUAAGAGCA